GUAUAUGACAUAGCCGGAAAGGGAAGAGCGGUGAUGGCUUGUUCUUCUGCCUCUCUCCUCCAGAAGGGUUUGCCUUUAACUUUCUAAAAUAUCCAGAUUGAAUCCUGCUAGUGCAGCCACGCCGCUGGUAGGCUGCAAUAAUUCUUGUGUAAGGUGGCUUCCCAAUACAUCCCCAGACAUUUCAACCAAGACUUCUUUUUCCUGCACACAUCACGUAAGGACUACACAUCAUGGGCAGGUUUAUCCUUCCUCUUCUGGUAAAGAUGGUUGAAGACAUGCAAGGAACUGGUACAGACAUUUCACUUACAGUGGACAAUAAAUGCUCACCUUUUCCCCCUAAAAGCCAAGAUUUCUCUAUCUACCCCUACCUCCCAGCCCAAUCCACCUCACCAGCCAAGUAGGUAACGAGGGAGCAUCACUAAGUGCUCUUUGUUCCCCUACCCUCAUGUAACCCACUCACCUGAGUGUGGCCUUCUGUCCCAUCUAGUGGCACUGAGACCACUUGGAGAUACAAUGAGUCUGUUGUACAAUCUUAGCUAGUUGGCUUUUCGCUCAUGCAGUAGAGGCUCAUGCCCUGAGCUCCAGAGACCCCAGGUUCAAUCCCACCUGCUGACAACCAGGGUCUGUUGGCAUCACACUCACUCCCAGCUCCCUAGACUUUAAGGAUGAUCUAGUGACAAAGAUUAAGUGCAUCUGUUAGUUGGCUUACACUAAUAUCUGUUUCUGAUGGACUGGACUGUUCCAGGGGGAUACGUUGCAUGAUCUCCCACACCGAGGACCAUAUGCCUCUAUUACUGCCAUGGUAGUUACAGGAGGAGGAGACCAUAGGCUGCUGGCGAGUAACAUCUCACAGUAACAGAGCUUUAUUGAAGAGGUAGACUAAGCUUCGAAGAAUCCUUGCCCAAUCACCUCAGCCCAUCACCUGUAGGCUGGGUCUAUGACCCACUGGAGAUCCAUGGUGGUUGGGUCAUGUCUGAUGGAGGAGAAGUCAUCCUUGGCUUUGGGGAAGGAUGUAUAUUUAGAGCUGGUUCCAUGCUGAGCUGGUUCCAUGCGCAUAACCCAUUUGUUUCUACGGUUUUUAGCCCUCACCUGCCAAUCUCCUUUGGGGCAUGUGACAGUUCCUGAGUAUCUGUUGGUUUAUUGUCUGUCUCUCUCUCUCACACACCUUUCCAGGCAACUUUUGCGAGAGCAAAGCUAUGGUUGAGGGAAUUAGAGAAGGAAUUUCUUCCCGAUGAGCUCGUGAUUAUUUUAGUCAGCGAUAAGGCAGAUCUUGCUGCUCAGCGGGAAGUCACCUUUGAGGUAAAAAGUGUCACUGCAGUAAGAUCUCAGCACUUGGCAGAUUCUCUCUUUCAAAAACACCACUAGAAGCUGAUGCUGCAUCACUGACCACCAAGUUCAAGGAAUGAGAACUGCAUGGGACAAAAGAAGCUCGAGGGUUUAACUCUCGGAUUCGUGUCUCCUGUGAGUUUUAACAGGUUCCAGCCAGAGAGCAGCUGCAAUGCCUUCAGCUGUGCAACAGAGAAAACAAGCGUGGCCUAAACAGUUCGGCUGCAACCGUGUGACUGGAACAGAAGGAGCGUGAGCUGGGGAAAUAAGAAGCUUUAGGGUUUGCAGCAGAAACUGCUGGAAUCCAACGGUGGCUCUAUCACCGGACACGCUGCUCUUCAGAAAGGAGGCAGAGGACUUUGCAAAGAGCAAAAGCUUAAUCUACAUGGAAACGUCAGCAAAAUCCAACCACCAAGUGACUGAGGUGUUUAUGGCCACAGCUCCUGAGUUAUUGAAACAGGAACAACAGAAGGAACCAGCCCUUCAGCCUCAGCCAUGGAAGAAGUCAUGCGUGGAUCUGCGAGAGCCAAGCAAUCACACUAAGAAGCGUUGCAUGAACUAAAGGAAAUGGCAGACUGACCUGAGGAUACCAUCAAGUGCGUUUUUAUUUUGUGCAGGAGGAGGAGAAGGAGACUGGCCCUAUGUAUUGUGAGCAGGCAGCAUGGUUCCAGGGGGCAGCUGGUGUGUCAGACUGUGAUUAUUGCUUUUAUUUUUCAUUGUCAGUGUUCGAUUGAAGAACUGUACGAGAGGAAAUAUGCCAAAUGCCAGGAACCUGAAAAGCACUGCAAGUCUCCUCUCGCUUGUUUGUUCAGUGAUAUCAUUAUACAAGAAUACAGUGCAAAGUAGCUUCACAAAUAAAAACAGCACAAAGGAGGAGCAGUCUCUCUCUCCCCCACUUUCACCUUUGCAAAUUCUAUAAAACUUUUACAGAGGCUGUUAACAUUAAGGUCACCCAAUCAUUAAAUGCAAGACAUGGAAUAGCCAGAACAUGCAGCUCUAGCUUAAUAUCGCUAUAAGAACUCAUUAUUGUCAUGAGUCUUGUGAUUUUUAGGGCAUUUCUUAAAGCCCCAGAUGCUGGAGUCAAAUGAUCACUUGGGAAACUUUAAACAACCAACAACUCUUCCAAAACAAACACUUUCUGGCUCUCAUGGUUGUGGAGAAAACGGAGAACAUGAAACAAGCACACCCUGAAGGUCCAGGAACCAUACUGUAAAUAAGGAGACCCUGAAUGUUAUUUAAAAGUCUCAUGAAUUUUUGGGGGGAGACGGGGGCUGAUUUCUCAUUGGAGUACCUGGGAUUGGCAAUACUGCAGUGGUAGAGGUUUAAUCAAGAAAUAAACCAGGGCCUGAUUCUCCUCAACCUUACACAAUUGCAACACUAAAGCGAGUGGAGUUACAUUGGUGUAAAUAUGAGAAUCAGACCUUCUGACUUAGGCCAGUUCCACACUAGAAACUCCAGCUGGCACAGUGGUCCUGCGUCUACACAAGAAGGGUUUGCCAGGAUGCUACCCCAGUAAACUUUCCAUUGAAGACUACGCAAAAAUCAAAUUUUGUCUUGCGCUUGUCAGGUAAACAGUUUACUAACAUAUCUAACCUUACAACCACAUCUGCUCCAACCCCUCAGACAGAGACCAAACACCUACAAAAUCUUCACCAAACAAACAUUCUCAAAACUACAAUACCCGCACGAGGAAAUAAGAAAACAGAUCAACAGAGCUAGAUGUGUACCCAGAAGCCUCGUACUGCAGGACAAGCCCAAGAAAGAAACCAACAGAACUCCACUGGCCAUCCCCAGCUAAAAUCCCUCCAAUGCAUCAUCAGGGAUCUACAACCUAUCCUGGACAAUGAUCCCUACUUUCACAGGCCUUGGGUGGCAGGCCAUUCCUUGCCCACAGACAGCCCGCCAACCUGAAGCAUAUUCUCACCAGUAACUACAUCCCGCACCAUAGUAACUCUAACUUAGGAACCAAUCCAUGCAACAAACCUCAAUGCCAACUCUGCCCACAUAUCUACACCAGCGACACCAUCACAGGACCUAACCAGAUCAGCCACACCAUCACCGGUUCAUUCACCUGCAAGUCCAACAAUGUAAUAUACGCUAUCAUAUGCCAGCAAUGCCCCUCUGCUAUGUACAUUGGCCAAACUGGACAGUCCCUACGGAAAAGGAUAUAUGGACACAAAUCAGAUAUUAGGAAUGGUAAUAUACAAAAACCUGUAGGAGAACACUUCAACCUCCCUGGACACACAACAGCAGAUCUUAAGAUGGCCAUCCUGCAGCAAAAAAACUUCAGGACCAGACUUCAAAGAGAAACUGCUGAGCUUCAGUUCCUCUGCAAAUUUGACACCAUCCGCUCAGGAUUAAACAAAGACUGUGAAUGGCUAGUCAACUACAAAACCAGUUUCUCCUCCCUUGGUGUUCAUAUCUCAGCUUCUAGAGGAGGGCCUCAUCCUCCCUGAUUGAACUAACCUGGUUAUCUCUAGCCUGCUUCUUGCUUACAUAUAUAUACCUGCCCCUGGAAAUUUCCACUACAUCCAUCCGAUGAAGUGGGUAGUCACCCACAAAGGCUCAUGCUGCAAUACAUCUGUUAGUGUAUAAGGUGCCACAGGAUUCUUUGCUGCUUUUACAUAUCUAACCUUGUUAAUUUCAGCACACUUAUUUGUGAACUGAUCACAGAUGCCUCAGUGCUAAGGGCAUGUCAAGAUUCAAAGAUCUCCUACUUGUGAAUUGUGCCUCUGAAGAGAGGCAGUAGUUUUAAUGGUGUGUGUCGGGGGGAGGGAGGAGUGGAUUCUCUCAUGUCUGAGGAGCACAAAAGAGCUGAAGGGACUUUGCUCAGGUUUGCUGAAUUUGUUACCUAAGUUCCAGCAGAGACCAAGCAUGGAAAGCUUGAUCUGAAAAGGCACAGGAUCAUGAGCUUGUGAAAACGGACUUUAACUGAAGCCAUUUUACCACCUGAGCUACAGUAUUUACACUGCAGCCAACGUUGCAAGAUAAAGCCAGUGUGAGCUGUACUGUUGAUAGGAGAACUGCACAUGCAGUGAGAAAACACCCCUGGAAUGGGUCACAGCUGAGGCUCUACAGGGCAUUUGCUAUAACCAGUGCUCAAGACCCAGUGAAUUGGUUCAGUAACACCACAUUUGGGAAGUGCAGGGGCUCAUUUCACUGCAGCUGUAGCAGCCACCAGCCAGUCUCUGCUAUUUCAGGAGGGUGAAGUCAUCCUCUGGUGCACAUGUGCUUACAGUACGUCACAUGAUCUCACUGCUAAACUCGUGCUGUUGCUUAUAUACAUCAUCCCACCCCAGACAGACUCAGCCCGGGGGAACCG
Gopherus flavomarginatus (Mexican gopher tortoise) is the source of this 4648-nucleotide long non-coding RNA. RefSeq lists it as uncharacterized. NCBI's taxonomy places the organism in Eukaryota, Metazoa, Chordata, Testudines, Testudinidae. The transcript has 3 exons. The record is from RefSeq and is a predicted model, not a curated record.